AUAUCAAUAAGCGGAGGAAAAGAAACUAACAAGGAUUCCCCUAGUAACUGCGAGUGAAGCGGGAAAAGCUCAAAUUUGAAAUCUGGCGGUUCUGCCGUCCGAGUUGUAUUCUGGAGAAGUGCCUUCCGUGCCGGACCGUGUACAAGUCCCUUGGAACAGGGCGUCAUAGAGGGUGAGAAUCCCGUCUUUGACACGGACUGCCGGUGCUCUGUGAUGCGCUCUCGAAGAGUCGAGUUGUUUGGGAAUGCAGCUCAAAACGGGUGGUAAAUUCCAUCUAAAGCUAAAUAUUGGCGAGAGACCGAUAGCGAACAAGUACCGUGAGGGAAAGAUGAAAAGCACUUUGGAAAGAGAGUAAAACAGUACGUGAAAUUGUUGAAAGGGAAACGCUUGAAGUCAGUCGCGUCUGCCGGAACUCAGCCUUGCUUCUGCUUGGUGCACUUUCCGGUUUGAUGGGCCAGCAUCAAUUUCGCCUCUCGGAUAAUGGCGAGGGAAAAGUGACACCUUUACGGUGUGUUAUAGUCCCUCGUCGCAUGCGAGGGUCGGGAUUGAGGAACUCAGCACGCGCCCUCGGGCGUCGGGGUUUUCGCCCACGAUACGUGCUUAGGAUGUUGGCGUAAUGGCUUUAAACGA
This 630-nucleotide ribosomal RNA is filed under the name uncultured fungus. RNAcentral's name for it is "eukaryotic LSU rRNA". It matches the Rfam family "Eukaryotic large subunit ribosomal RNA", at positions 40 to 647 of the family's 3401-position model. Lineage: Eukaryota; Fungi. The record is from RNAcentral.